RNAcentral lists this ribosomal RNA (240 nucleotides) under Triticum aestivum (bread wheat). RNAcentral's name for it is "partial small subunit ribosomal RNA". Lineage: Eukaryota; Viridiplantae; Streptophyta; Magnoliopsida; Poales; Poaceae. The record is from RNAcentral.
AUGAGCAAUGGAAUCUUCAAAAGCCCCGUGCAUAGAGUUGUGACAAAUGCUGAGAAAGAAAGGCUAUCGCUGGCUCUAUUCUACUCGGUUGAUCCUGAGAGAGAAAUUGAGCCAGCGACUCAGCUGGUAGAUGAGAAGAGACCAGCGUUGUACAGAAAGGUCAAGGUGAAGGACUACAUUGCUGGACUCUAUGAACAUGUGUCUCAAGGAACGAUGGUUAUUGACACAGUGAAGAUAUAA